Zea mays is the source of this 4329-nucleotide RNA transcript. RefSeq lists it as uncharacterized. The transcript is spliced from 3 exons. Lineage: Eukaryota; Viridiplantae; Streptophyta; Magnoliopsida; Poales; Poaceae. The record is from RefSeq and is marked provisional.
GGUUUUGAUGUGCUUCCAGGUGCGUUGUAGUAUCUGCACUGCUGCUGACAUGUUGAGUCCUGUACUCCGUCAUAUAUGGGCCUACGAUACGAAACUGGGCCUUGCGAAGUUUCCCAGCAAGUGCUAGAGAGUGCCAGGCGACACGGUUCGCUCGGCGGCGGCGCCAUCUGGCAGCUUCUGCAAAACUGAAGUGCCCAUUCCAGCCCUCCCGUAGCGAUCGACCUCUGAACUACGCAGCGGAAAAAUCCCAUCAAAAAACAAGGGGAAAAAACAACACAGCAUGAACUGCUUGAAGAACUCGCGUUCUGUCCUCUCGCGACUCCUUCGCCACAGGCCCCACGUAGCAGCGCCACCGCCGCCGACGCCGGCGACGGCGCCGCAGUCACCGGCUUCACGGUACUACUACUACGCCUCCCGCGUCAAGCCAGCCGUCUCCCGACCGCCGCCGCCGCCCCAGUUGCCGAGAUCUAGGCACUACUACACAUCCCCGCGGCGGCAGCAGGUCGUCCACUUCAACCGCCGCCGCGGCGGGUCCCGGUGGUACCACGACCAGCGGAAGCUCACGGCGGCGGUCUUAAUCAGCGGCGGCGGGGCGGUCGCGUUCUACUUCGGCCAUUUGGAGACCGUGCCCUACACCAACCGCUCCCACCUCGUCGUCCUCUCGCCGAAGUUCGAGCGCCAGCUCGGCGAGUCCCAGUUUGCCCAGCUCAAGAAGGAGUUCGGGCCCAAGAUCCUGCCACCGCUCCACCCCGACAGCAUCCGUGUCCGCCUCAUCGCCUCGGAGAUCGUCCGCGCCGUCCACCGUGGCAUCUCCGUCCAACAGCGCCACGACGCCUUCUACGGAGAGGACGCCUCGUAUGGGUAUGGCGGCAUCGCCGACGACCUCUCCAUCAAGAACCGCGACGCCGACGCUGCUGCAGCGCUGCUUGGUGCUUCCCCCGGCAAGAACGCCAGUGCUGCCGUGGCCGCUCAGCGAGAUGACGAGCUCCUGGAUGACAGGUGGGUGACCGAGAGUCGGAGCCGAGGUAAGGCACGUGGGGCGCAACCGCAGACGGGUCACCUGGACGGGGUUAACUGGGAGGUGAUCGUUGUCAAAGAUGACCUCGUCAAUGCAUUUUGCCUGCCUGGUGGCAAGAUUGUAGUCUUCACUGGAUUGCUUAACAACUUCAGGGCCGAUGCUGAGGUUGCCACUGUUGUUGGGCAUGAGGUUGGGCAUGCUAUUGCGAGGCACUCCGCUGAGCAGAUCACUAAGAACCUCUGGGUGGCAAUCCUGCAGAUUGUCAUCCUGCAGUUUAUUUACAUGCCGGACUUGAUAAAUACGGUGUCAACACUACUACUCAGGCUACCCUUCUCACGAAGGUAAGGCUUCUGUAUUUCAAGUUGCUAAUUGUGAUGCAUCCUAGAUGUGAUAAGCUUCAUGUUUUACUAAAGGUGGCUCACCUAAUAUUCUAAAACAAGUAAAAUGCAAAAUUGAACUGUAUAAGUAGACCUCAAUGUUGCUAUGUGUCAUGCGUUAGGUCAGAUUCCUUCAAGUAGACACACAACAAACUAGCAGGGGCAUCUAAAUAUGUCAGCUCAUUGUAUGGUUGUAUCAUAGGUCGAUGAACAUACAGACCAAGAUAUCAAAACUUAGCGGGCCCUUUUACUGUUAUUGGCAUCAGUUGUGUAGGUGCAUUAAUAUCAGUUGCCACUUGACAUGACAGCUUCUUUGAAUAUUGAAGAUGGCUGUAAACUGUGUUUUAAAUUAUGCCCUUUUAUGGAUAGGCACUGGACAUAACAAAUUAAGUUAUUCAGAUGAUUUUUUUCCAGGACCCAGCAUGUAAUACUUACAUUUCUAUGAACUAACAGUCACUCUUGACAUUAUUAUGUUUCCUUGUGAUUGGCACUAUUAGAAAUGAGGUCGUAACUGCUAGUUAUUGUCUCAAUAGGCCAACAGGGACAUUGGAGAGAGACCCGUGUCUAAAUUUCACCCUUAUGUUUUCUUGGCAUUGUUUUUUUAACACGAAUCUUCAAACAAGUGCCUUCCCUUUUUGCUUUAGGAAGUAAACCCAAUAAGCUUGGAAGUAGCAUAUAGAAUGUGCUCGGCAUGGCUUUGCUUCCAAUAUGUCAAAACCGCUUAUAUUGAUAUCCUUUUUGCUCAACCACUAGAGUUUCACCACGUAGGUAUUUAUAAUUGAAGUAUGCUCUUUGAAUUUCUGACAAAUUUUCUUGUAGCUGGAUGCUUCAGAAUUUUUUGAGUAUGUGAAAAUUGACCAUUUGAAAGAUGCAUUAGUCUAUAGUGAUAUUUUUUUUCUCGAACACGCAGGAGAUCUGUGUAUCUUUAUAUUAAGAAGAGAGAGAGAGUAACCAAUAGAACACACACCACACCCUGAUUCUUAGAUUACAUUCGCGCCUGUUACAAAAGGAUGAUCCUCUACACGCACUGGAUGCAACGAAACCCCAGGAAUUGGGAUGGCCAGGAGGGAUAGCCCUCUAGCACCAGCCAUCUCCCAAAGCUCUCGCUCCUCUGCAGGACUCUUUAAGACUCCGGCCAAGCUAGGGCUAGCCCAUCAAAAACACAUCGAUUGUUAUGCUUCCAUAGAGACCAAGCUCCUAAGACAAUGAAGGAAUUGAGGCCUUGAUGUAGUAAGCCAUUUGUUGCAUUGCUUACAUCCUGCCAUCAUCAUGAAAGGAAAUCACUCCUGGCUGUGGUGGUAGAACCUGCAAACCGACCUGGUGAAGGAGGUGAACCAGAAAAUAAUCAAUAGAUUCACCAACAAAUGAUCAAUAGAUUCCUCUUCUUGGUCACAGAAAGGACAACAAUCAGGAUGAUCUAUCCCAUGGCGUGCAAAACUAUCAGCAGUCCAGCAUUUUUUAUGUGCCACAAGCCAUAGAAAAAAAAUACAUUUUGGUGGAGCUCAAGUCUUCCAGAUCCUCUCCCAAGGCCCAAACUGAGUAGAGCCCACAAGCAAACCGUCAUAGGCUGAUUUGGCUGAGUAUUGUCCACCAGUUCAGAAACACCAAAUAAUAACAUCUUUUACGCCUGGUUGUAGCUCAAAGUCAGAAAUGAUGUCCCAUUAUCUUAAGAAUUCUAUAAGAAUCCCUACUGUGAGCUGCCCUUGAAUAUUUGAGAUCCAUGCCUGGUUUGUGAGAGCUUCCUGUACAGUGUGCUUUCUCGAUAUUCUCUUCGGAAUUAUUGCAUGUAAGCAUGGGAUAAUAUCCACAGCGCAUUGAUCUUGCAACCACCGAUCACUCCGAAAUAAAGUGUUUGCUCCAUCUCCAAUAUCAGACCACAAAGCUAUGGAUAAGAAACCCAACCUGACACUCCAAAAUAAAGUGUUUGCUCCAUCUCCAAUAUCAGACCACAAAGCUAUGGAGAAGAAACUCCGAACUUGAUCUGGAACAUGAAUUGGGAGAGUAGCCCAAGGAUGGUUUGGUUCUGUUUUUUUGCAACCAUAACCACCACAUUCUCAAGGCCCAAUUCAAGUUUUGAAGAUCGGAAAAACCAAGUCCUCGAAGCUCCAAUGGACGACAGACUUCUUCCAAGCUUCUAGACAAUGGCCACCUUUGGCUUCUUUACGAGCCCCAUAGGAAACCGUGUCUGAUUUCAUCAAUAGCUUUUAGCACCCAGGAUGGAAGAUCGAGCGCCACUGCAAGAUAUAUCAACACGGCAGUGAGAACAAACUGAACCUGAACUCUCCUCCCGGCUCUUGUCAUUAAGUACACUUUCCAAGCUGGUAGUUGAUCUGCAAUACGAUCAAUUGGUUUCCAUGUUUACUUAAGAAUGGAGAUAGAGGCUGACCACAUCGGGCUCCUGCUGCUCGCUUCUGCUGGUUACGAUCCGCGUGUCGCCCCUUCGGUCUAUGAGAAGCUAGGAAAGAUCGGAGGAGAUUCAGCACUGAAUAACUACCUCUCGACUCACCCGUCCAGCAAGAAGAGGGCGCAGCUUCUGUCGCAGGCCAGUGUCAUGAACGAGGCGCUGAAACUGUAUAGGGAGGUUAGUGCCGGCCAAGGCACCGAAGGUUUCCUCUAGAUUCUGGGACCUGCUCCUCUGCUUGUUUCAAACGCCUCACAAAGAGGUUGGUGGUCUUGUUAGCUGCAGUAGUGACGGCCUGUGGCAUCGGCGUUCUGAGUGGUUCAGAAGCCUGGAAGAUUAAACUAAGCUAUUUGCUCCUCGUUAUUUCCAGUCGUUCUGAUGUCGAACGGGGCCCUCGUCGCUUCCCCUAGCAGACGCAGGAUAGCUGUUUCUGCAUUUGUCAUUAGGAAAAAAAAGAAAUUAAGCACCGUAUUAUUGUCAAUAAUUGUUGGUUGACACCAGCUCCUGUUUCAAGUGUGGUUUUGCUCUAUUCA